This 7572-nucleotide long non-coding RNA is filed under the name Citrus x clementina. RNAcentral describes it as "Citrus clementina (C. clementina) long non-coding RNA (CCLE_LNC006402)". The record is from RNAcentral. Lineage: Eukaryota; Viridiplantae; Streptophyta; Magnoliopsida; Sapindales; Rutaceae.
AUAUCUUGAAAUAUUUUUUAAAACAUAAGGAUUAAAGGAACUCCUAAAUCAAAAUACAGGAACCAACAAAUUGAAUAUUUACCCAUCAUUUCACCGAGUAUAUAUUAUUAGAAUGAUUAGUUAAUGUCGUUAAGUCCUCUUCUGUAUGGUUGUUAGCUUUAUUUAGUUAUUUAUCAGGAGAUUCAUUUCUCACUAGAUGCUAGAAAUUGAUGGAUCAAUUACUUUUUAUUUUUUUCUCCUUUUAGAUGACAACUUGCUAUCUCUGGUGAGUAUUGAUAGAAUACGAAAAAUAAAAUAGUUUUCUAUUUUCCAAAUUGCAUUUUUGAUAACAACUCAAAUGAUCAAAUCUCUGUGGUCGAGUUACAAGUUAGCCUUCCCCCAGAUCUCUGCCAUUUUCCCCUCCACGUCCAUUUGGUCCAAACACUCCAACACCUUCUCCUGGUAAUAUCUCAUACAUCUUAGCUCAAUUUAUUCGUUUAUCGAUCUUAUCGAUUUUAAUUAUUGCUGCCCCAACAAUUAAAAAAGUAUAUCAUAUCCCAGUCAAGUUAAUUGGACUUCUGAGUCACCACAUCAAUAAAUAGAUUUGAUGUCAUCCAAAUUUGUCACUCUUCGAUUGUCUUCUCUUUUAUUGAUUUGGCAACUCGUUAGUUCUGAGUGGGGUUAUAAGGGUUGAAAAAAAUGUUAAAUUUUGGGCCAUAAAAGCAUGCAUAAUUAAUUAAUGGGCCACUAAUUUCUUUUUCUUAAAAAGAGAAUUUUUGGAGGGAGUUCGGAAGAAGGCCAAUUCAUAAAUGAGUCUCCCCACAAAUACAAUUCAAGCCACACAAUUUCUCUUGUUAUACAUACUCUACUUAAUGGCGUUUGCGAAUUCUUGAAUUAUCAAACGAAUAGCAAGAUAACACUUCAACAUCUGUGGUCACAUGGAGUGAAAUCCUCUCUCUCUUUGAUGUAAUAUUUGGACACUCUACAUUGACUUGUCAUGUUGUUGAGAAACUAUUACAUUAUGUUAGAAAAUUGAUGGAUGAAGCAGACACGCAGCUAAAAUAAAAUUAGAAAAUAAUAAAGAACAAGCACAAAAGAGGACACCAGAAAUUACGUGGUUCAGCUUUUAGUCUACGUCCACAGGCGAAAAUAGAAGGAAAAUAUUUUACUAGUGAAAAUGAGUUAUAAGUAUUGUGAUAUUUUAGCUCACUACCCAAAAUCCCAAUACACCUAAACUCUCAAAACACUAAUCACUCAAGAGUUUAUUAAACUCUUAAUACUCUCACCUCUCUAAAGGAAGGAAAUGCUUCUCUCUCGAUGGAAUGCUUCAGCUCUUCAUUUGUACUUCUAUUUAUAGCAAAAUGAUGGCCAAGAAAGUCAAAAUCGUGUUCCUCAUUUUCUUCUUCAAACUGCCUCUUUUUCCAUUUUCCUCUUCAAGCAUUUCGGCCCAUUUUCAACAUUUCUAGGAGAGUGGUGCCCCAUAUUCAACAUUUCUCCCACUUGGAGAUUUGAUUGAGAACCAAUCAAUCUUCACACCAUCCUUUCUACUUCGCCAUAAUCAUGUUGCCUACGUUUCUGCUAGGCCACAAGAGGAUCUACUCUAGAUAAACUUAUCAGCUUUGAUUGGCUUGGUCAAAACAUCUACUAGGUUCUCCUUCGUAUGGAUUUUCUAUAAAUCCACACUUCCGUCUUCCACUACUUCUCGAACAAAAUGAUACUGAACUCUUAUGUGCUUUGUCCUGGAAUGAAAGCCUGGAUUCCUUGCAAUGUGCAAGACACUCUGACUGUCACAAUACACAUAAAUUUUUCUUGUUUGUGUCCGAGCUACUCCAAUAACCUUUGUAUCCAAAUAGCUUCCUUGCAAGCUUGUGUAGCUGCCAUGUACUCUGCUUCUGUUGUAGAUAAAGCCACAACGGUCUACAGUUUCGAAACCCAGCGUACGGCUGAUCCCACAAGUGUAAACACAUAGCCAGUAGUGGAUUUCCUCUUAUCAAGAUCUCCUGCAAAAUCUGAAUCCACAUAGACCCUGACAGUAAAUUCUGAUCUUUCAUAACAUAAUGCAACAUCUGAGGUUCCUCUUAUGUAUCUCAGAAUCCUCUUCACAGCUAUCCAAUGCUCGCCACCAGGAUUCGCCAUGUAUCGACUGACUGCUCCCACUGCUUGUGCAAUGUCCGGUCUAGUACAUAUCAUAGCGAACAUUAAACUUCCCACUGCUGAUGCAUACGGUACUCGAGACAUCUCCUUCCUCUCUGCUUCAUUGCUAGGACACAUACUUGAGGAUAAUUUGAAAUUAACAGGAAGUGGGGUAGAAAUUGACUUACAAUCUUGCAUGUUGAAGCGUCGCAAGAUUUUCUUCAAGUAGUUCUUUUGUGAAAGCCAAAUCUUCCAAUUAUUUUUGUCUCGGUGAAUUUUCAUCCCUAAAAUCUUAUUUGCUAGUCCCAAGUCCUUCAUUUCAAACUCCCUAGCCAAUUGUGCCUUCAAUUCUUGGACUCGAUCUUUGUUGAGGCCUGCUACUAACAUAUCAUCCACGUACAACAGCAAAAUGAUGAAAUCAUUAUCUUCAAACCUCUUGUAAUAUGCACAAUGGUCUGAACUGAAUCUAUUGUAUCCAAGGCUCAUGAUUAAAAAAUCAAAUCUCUUAUACCAACACCUCGGUGCUUGUUUGAGACUGUAUAGAGAUUUAUUCAACCUACAAACCAAGUUCUCAUUUCUUGUUUCUGCAAAACCUUCUGGUUUGAGCAUAUAUAUUUCUUCUUCAAGUUCUCCAUGAAGAAAUGCAGUUUCACAUCCAACUGCUCAAGAUGUAAGUCAAAUGUAGCACACAUCGCCAAGACAACUCUGACUGUUGUAAGUCAAACCACUGGAGAAAAUAUCUCGUUAAAGUCAAUACCUUCUUUCUGAGCAUAUCCUUUCACUACCAAUCUUGCACGAUACCACUCCACUUGGUCAUUGGCAUCACGCUUGAUCUUGUAGACCCAUUUGUUUCCAAUGGCUUUUCUUCCGUGUGGUAGUAGUACAAGUUCUUAUGUCUUGUUCUUGUGUAGAGCUUUAAUUUCUUCCUGCAUUGCUGUCAUCCACAAAGCAACAUCUGAGCUAUUUAAAGCUUCAUGGAAAGUUGAAGGCUCUCCAUUCUCUGUUAGAAGACAAUAUGCAAUGUUGAUCUCUGUGACAUACUCCGAGUGCCACGUUGGCGAUCGUCUCUCACGAGUUGACCGACGAACUUCUGGAGCCUCAGACUCGAUUGGUUCUUGUUCUUCAUGCUCUGGUGCUGCUUCAGAAGAAUCUGAAUCUUCUGGAUUAUUUUCCACAUAUACCGGUAUAGUCUCUGACUUUUCUUUUACACUGUUAUCAUCCUCAUCUCUCCUUUGUAGUUGAUCUUUUAUAAAGAUAACAUCUCUGCUGAUGACGAUCUUGUUGGCAGUGGGGUCCCACAGACGAUACCCCUUUACUCCAUCAGCAUAUCCCAAGAAGAUACAUCUUUUAGAUUUUGGAUCCAGUUUUGUUCUUUCUUGGGCAUUGUACAUCACGUACAUAGGACACCCAAAUGCGUGUAGGUAGGAAUAAUCAGCUGGCUUUCCAGUCCACAUCUCCAUCGCCGUCUUCAACCCAAUAGUUGUAGAUGGCGGCCGAUUUACUAUAUAAUAGGCAGUUUUGGCUGCUUCUGCCCAAAAUCAAUUAGGUAGACCAACAGUCCUCAACAUAGCUCUUAUCCAUUCUGUAAGAGUUCUAUUCAUCCGCUCUGCCACUCCAUUUUGUUGAGGAGUGUAUGCCACCGUGAACUGCCUUUGAAUACCUUCUUACUUACAGAAAGCAAGAAACUCGCCGUCUGUAUACUCUCCACCAUUAUCUGUCCUUAAGCACUUGAUCUUUUUACCAGAUUCAAGUUCCACCCGUGCUUUGUAUUCUUUAAACACUGGAAAUACAUCUGACUUUUCUUAAUUGGAUACACCCAACAUCUUUUGGAAUAAUCAUCAAUGAAAGUCACCAUGUACUUUGCACCUCCUAUGGAUAUAUCCGGUGAUUCCCAAACAUCAGAAUGAAUCGAGUCUAGAAUGCAUAUACUUCUAGCAAUAGAUCUACUGAAUUUUAAUCUAUGCUGCUUACUUGUAACACAAUGCUCGCAAAAUGGUAAACUUACCGAUUUGAGCCCCGGAAGCAAUUUUCACUCAGAGAGAAUCUUCAAAUCUUGUUCUGACAUGUGGCCAAGUUUGAGAUGCCACAUCAUCGUUGAUUCUUCUCCAUUUGACGCGACACACGAAUCAGCCUCUUGUAGUGUUUCUCCUUUAAGCAUGAAUAGAUUAGCACUGAUCUUUUCUGCCUUCAUCAAUACAAGCGCUCCUUUAACAAUCUUUAUAAUAUCAUUCUCCACAUGAGUUUUGUACCCAUGACUAUCCAUUUGUCCCAAAGACAAUAGAUUUUUCUUCAGGCCGUUGACAUAUCGUACCUCCCCAAUUGUGCGAAUUGUACCAUCAAACAUUUUUAUAUUGAUAGUACUAAUACCAACAAUCUCUAAGGCAUGAUCAUUACCCAUAUAUACAGAUUCUCCUGAGAUAGGUUCAUAUGUGUGGAACCAUUCUCUAUGAGAGGUCAUGUGCCAUGUAGCUCCUGAGUCUAUAAGCCAGACAUUAGAUAGUCAUUUUCUACCUUUUGAAACAGUUGUUGCCUCACUGUAGAGAAUUUCGCCAUCAUCUGAGGUACUUGUUACACAACCCUGAGCAUUUGAUGACUCAGGUUCUUUGCCCUCUCUUCUCUUUCGGUUACUCCAACACUCUUUUUUUACAUGCCCUUUCUUGCCACAGUUGUAGCAUUUAACAUUCUUUUUACUUCUAGAUUUUGAUCUACCAUGAUUUUGACUCCCAUUGGGGCCACGUUCUGUUGAUCUCCCUCUCAUCACCGAUAAUGCCUCCGCUUGCUGCGAACUUGCUUGUCUGUUUUCCUUAUUUUUCUGCCUGCUCUCCUCAUUUAAUAUGGAGGCUGCAACAUCGUCAAAAACUAGACUGUCCACUGGAUUGUUGUUCGUUAGGUUGAUGAUGAGUUGAUCAUACGAAUCUGGUAGACUUUGAAGUAGAAGCUUUGCACGUUCAUUCUCCUCUAUACUAUAACCCAACAUUGUGAGUUGUGAAAAUAGAGUCUUCAAGGUGUUAAUAUGGUCGGUCACCAUUGUAUAUUCCGCCAUUCGAAGAGUAUAGAGUUUCCUCUUCAAGAAGAUUUGUUGUGUAGUGGCUUGGCCUCGUACAAUUUUGUGAGAGUAUCUCAUAUUUCCUUCGCUGUAUUUUUCUCUGCCACACUGGAUAAUACUCCGUCCGCAAGUGCCAAGUGUAGAUCAGAAAUGGCGUUGCCAUCUACCUCGUUCCACUUGUCAUCAGUUAUCUCCAUGGGCUUUUCUCCAAUUGCUGCCAAGCAAUUAUUUUUCCUCAAUACAGCUUUCAUCUUCAUUUUCCACAACGAAAAAUUAUUUCCGUUAAAUUUCUCAAUUUCAUACUUUGUUUCCAUUUGGUUGUUAAAUACCGCACACAAGUUAGUGUACCACCUUGAAUAGUUUUGAGUAUAUGUGAGAAUGCACACCAGGAAAGUUCACAGGAAAGACUGGAGGGAUCACAAUGGUCCCACUUAAAACCAGACUCCUUAAGCUCUUAUCGCCUUUGUGACAGAACUUUUCUAGACAUGUACAAAACCACAUAGUUGUUUUACUCACACACUAUUCCCUGCUUUGCACCGCAAAAUNNNNNNNNNNNNNNNNNNNNNNNNNNNNNNNNNNNNNNNNNNNNNNNNNNNNNNNNNNNNNNNNNNNNNNNNNNNNNNNNNNNNNNNNNNNNNNNNNNNNAUAAAUAGAUUUGAUGUCAUCCAAAUUUGUCACUCUUCGAUUGUCUUCUCUUUUAUUGAUUUGGCAACUCGUUAGUUCUGAGUGGGGUUAUAAGGGUUGAAAAAAAUGUUAAAUUUUGGGCCAUAAAAGCAUGCAUAAUUAAUUAAUGGGCCACUAAUUUCUUUUUCUUAAAAAGAGAAUUUUUGGAGGGAGUUCGGAAGAAGGCCAAUUCAUAAAUGAGUCUCCCCACAAAUACAAUUCAAGCCACACAAUUUCUCUUGUUAUACAUACUCUACUUAAUGGCGUUUGCGAAUUCUUGAAUUAUCAAACGAAUAGCAAGAUAACACUUCAACAUCUGUGGUCACAUGGAGUGAAAUCCUCUCUCUCUUUGAUGUAAUAUUUGGACACUCUACAUUGACUUGUCAUGUUGUUGAGAAACUAUUACAUUAUGUUAGAAAAUUGAUGGAUGAAGCAGACACGCAGCUAAAAUAAAAUUAGAAAAUAAUAAAGAACAAGCACAAAAGAGGACACCAGAAAUUACGUGGUUCAGCUUUUAGCCUACGUCUACGAGCAAAAACAGAAGGAAAAUAUUUUACUAGUGAAAAGGAGUUACAAGUAUUGUGGUAUUUUAGCUCACUACCCAAAAUCUCAAUACACCCAAACUCUCAAAACACUAAUCACUCAAGAGUUUAUUAAACUCUUAAUACUCUCACCUCUCUAAAGGAAGGAAAUGCUUCUCUCUUGAUAGAAUGCUUCAGCUCUUCAUUUGCACUUCUAUUUAUAGCAAAAUGAUGGCUAAGAAAGUCAAAACCAUGUUCCUCCUUUUCAAAACCGUGUUCCUCAUUUUCUUCUUCAAACUGCUUCUUUUUUCAUUUUCCUCUUCAAGCAUUUCGGCCCAUUUUCAACAUUUCUAGAAGAGUGGUGGCCCAUAUUCAACACAUUAAAGUGUUCAAUUUAAUUUUGAUUAAGUGAAAGAAAGGGAUGGGACCGUCCAAUUAAUUAAAUUAAAGUUUCUACUGAGCAGUGCCACAAAUAUUAUUCUCAUGGUUUAUUGCUCGAGUCUUUUUCAACUAAUCAAAAUACACCUAAUGUUAUUAAUGCUUUGCAUUUUGCCCCAGUAUUUUUCUCCUGUUUUUUAUCCUUAAGCUUUUGGUGAAGACCUAGUCUGUUCGUAAAAUAUUCAGGUGCCGUAAAUUGUCUCUAAGUCAAAAGAAAACGAUACAACAAUUGUAUUUCAAUUUAUCCAAAAAUUUGAGUUCAAACCUUCAAGCAACAUAACAUUUACAUAUGUCAUGUUACCACGGAGAAGAAAAUUUUGGUAUUUUUCUUUUUGAAUGAGUAGAAUUAUAUUGUGAUAAAAACUACCACAAUCACAUUAAAAAUAAUUUUUUUUGGGCACCUCUUCCUAGGGGUGUUCGCAGAUUGAAUUUUGCAGAUUGGAUAUCAAUCCAUAUCUAAUCCAUGAUUUUGCGGAUUAUAAAUUUUUAAUUUAAUAUAAUCCAGGAAUUAGUGAAAUUCAAUCCAAAUCCAAUCCAUGCAUCUGCGGAUUGUAUGUGGAUUGUGUUUUACGGAUUGGUUUGCGGGCUAAAAUUUUUUAAUUCCAUUCUAUCCAUGAACUAACUAAAUAAAAAAUUAAUAUAAAAAUAAUUUUACUACCGAUCAAAUUUAAAAUUAAAUAAGAUUUAAAUAAAUUAAUUGUUUAAAUAAGGCUAAAAAAUACAUUCAAAGUUUCAAAAUAUAACACACUAAAAAGAAAAAAAAUCUCAUUUGUUGAGAUCAGUACAUAAAAA